CGCAUGUUAAGUGAAGUCUAGAGUAUAAAACUCGAUGUUCCAACUUACAACAGCUCAAGUUUAGUUCACAACACAGACCACAGUAUCAGGAGAAUCAUGAAAUUUCUUGGAAUGCUUAUGGCAGGUGCAGUAGCAUUGUUUGCUCUUGCAGGAAUGGCCGCUGCCCGAGCAAUGCCUGCACCAGAGCCUACACCUAAUCCAAUGGCUGAACCAGGAACAUACGAUGGCUAAUAAAAGACUCUAUUGUACAUACUUUCUCGAAAAUGAAAGAUGUUGACUUCUACAUAGAAA
This 291-nucleotide long non-coding RNA is filed under the name Hermetia illucens (black soldier fly). Its description in RNAcentral is "uncharacterized LOC119650086". The record is from RNAcentral. Lineage: Eukaryota; Metazoa; Arthropoda; Insecta; Diptera; Stratiomyidae.